UAUAUAUAUAUAUAUAUAUAUAUAUAAAAAAAUAAAGCUGGCACUAUAAAGGCCUCAUACUCUAUAAACACCUUGUUUUCAUUAACCAAAAAUGCAUAGGAUACCUUUUUUUUUUUUUUUUUCCUUCACCUGGGUACUGCAAGAUGACCUUAAUAAAAUUAAAGAUAUUGAAUGUUAAAAUAUACAUAGAACGUGCCCGCAGAUGCUGCUUGUAUUUGUCUAGUUUUUAUACAUGUAGUUUUGAAGUUACAAUUAGUGUAAGUUUAAAAAUGAGAUUUUUAGAAGUGUUGUUUGAAUUGCUUUGCCCAUGGAGCUUGAGGACUGCUGCUGAAGAACAAUGGAGAAGGAUAUGUGUAACCUGGUCAGGUGAGAACGCAUAAUGCGUAGUCAUUUUAAGUAGGAGUGUCAGUUUAACAAAAGGGUAAGAAGUUAGCAUAAAUGAGACUUAGUUCCUUGAAAUUAUACAUAGUAAAUGGGGUGGUGGUAAAGAUGAAAUGCUCUGUUGUAUUAAGUAUUGUUUGACGUUUUUGAAAUAAAAGUAUAUGGUUUUACUACUUCGUUGACAAUGACAUUCUUGCUUGGGGAGUUGCCAGCCUACACUGGAUGGUUGACUUAAACUGGAUGUAGCCUGUCAAGUUUGUUACAGCUUUAGUCAACUAAAGUAGAUGUCAAAACUUCUCCAUAAUCAGCUAGUUUUAGCAGGGAGUGCACUCACACAACCCUUAACGAACAACACCUUUAUAAAUACAGAAACUAACCUUAUAUGGUACAUACAAUGCAUUAAAACCCAAAAAGGCACUAAAAUUUUAUCAAUAUUUUUUUUUUAUAACAUUUAAAGACCUUUACAAGUGAGAACUUUAGGAAGGUGAAAAAUGAUGUGUUAAGUAACCCCUGUGAAUUUACUUUAAAAAACAUUCUAAAUUGCUCUGGGAGGUUCCCCUCACUUGAAUAUAAUUUAUACAUGAAAACACAUUUAAGAAAAAUCGUAAGAAACUGAUCUGAAGUUCAACAAAGAAGAUUUGAUUGGAUUGCUAUCCUAAUCAAAUGCUUCUGAAGGCUAAUGUUUUUUAUAUAUAGUAAAAGUACUCGACCAAACUAUAUUACAAUAUGAAAGAUGGAUAAAUUAAACUACAGUAAAGCGUAAGACGACAUUCUGUAGUAAGACACAUAACCCUCCUCAUUAUACCCGUCAAUAUAGGUCUAUUUGUUCUUUGCUCAUCUAAUCAACUUGUUCCCUCCAACUCGGAAGUUUCAUCAACAUAAACUCCCAAGAAUUUAAUAGCACCUCAAUUUUUGAUAAAUCCUUAGGGUAUCCUAUAUUUGAAGUUUAAUAUAAGAAUGUAUGUAUUUGUUUGAAAAAAAAAAAAACGACUUUAAAAAAAUCCAAAACCACCUAUGGAAUGAAGUCAAACAUGGAUAUGUUCUAGAAAAUCAAAAAGAAAUGUGACAUUAGUCAGCAUGUUAAAAUCCCUUAGCAUUGUUUCAAGUACCUUGAUAGAUUAAUACAAACUAUUCUAGAAUCAAAACAUUUAUUUCCUGACAAGUAUACACUGUUGGACAGAGCAACAUGUGGGUUUAAAAUAGGUGCACAAAAACACUUCAUCAAAUGAAAUGUAAACAAGCUGCGGAUCAGCACUUCUGCUAAUCGAUUCUCUUGACAUAUGAUUGUUUUGAGCACAGGAACACCUUGUUCCCUUCCUCACCCAACGGCUCUGGUUUUGGCACAAGGAGGUUUCAAAGAACCCAUGUGGCAAACAGGUGCAAAUUCCUAACUGGUUUUCAACACCAGGUGGCCCUAAAUUGCCACAGUUGAGGAAGGCCCACCAGGGAAGUCUUUUGUAAGCAUUACUGAAGGAAAACUGACAAGAGCAAUGUGUUGAUAGUCCUUGUGCCACAUUUAGAUUACAGUGCAUGGAUGGCAUCUGUUUGUGAGAGGCAUGAAGCAAUGGAGAGGACUUAGGCAGGACAAACCUCUCAAAUUACAUAGAUGAUGAGGAUACACUCCUCUUUGUCAAUGGAAGGAAUGAAGGAACCCACACGUCUCUAUUUCUCCAUGUUCUUCAACUCACUCUGGACUUUACUAAGUUUCAGUCUUAUUUUACCCCAUUCAAUGGUGAGUGUUUCUCCCACUUUGAUAGUCCUUAGUGUCAGCUCAGCUGCUCCGGUCUAUCUGCCAAAAGUAAUAGAUGAGACAACUCGUCCCUUGCCUACUGUGUGCUGUCAAUGAGAUGAUGGCAGAAUACAAGGCUUGUGCAUUAUGAUUGAUAUGCAGCCCUCCAGCUAGGCCACAUUGCCAGUCUAUUGAUUAUUCGCCAGCCUGGUCUCGUGGGAGGGCCUGUUCCUUGGUCAUCCAUCAUACUGACUUUCUCCCAUUUUAUUCAGACAAGAAUAGUUACCAGGAUAAGCUCCUAUUUGAUAGUGCAGGUGCACCCAUUUAGAAUAAAUAUAUAUAUAUAUAUUAUUUGAGUUAAUGGUAUGCUUCAUUUAGGUGAGAUAAGGUUGUAGGUUGGCUAGGUCAUGCUGGCCUGAGCAUCAUGGGAUUUUAAACUAAAUGUAAAUGAAAUAGGCUGUUAUCUUUCUUGAACUAAAUGAUCCCCUUCUAUUUCUUUCACAUAAAACCUGUGAGUUUAUACAGGUUUAAUUUUUUUCAAUAAAUUAUGUAAUCAGGUACAAAAACACUCUGAUUCACUGCCUGUUUCAUCAAGGCCAGUUUUUUUAAAGAAAGUGGCGUUUAUUCCAUUAAUUAUACCAAAAGGUUCAAAUUAGUCUGAAGAUUGAUAACUCAAGGCAAACCAUUUAUCAAAUUGAUUGUAAAUGUAAAUUUUCUUCUAAAUAAUACACAAAUGAAUAAAACAUAUACAGGUUGUCAGUCUGUGGAUUAUGGUAAGCCCUUUCUGAUUACGAGUCAAUUAACAUUUAGCCGUAGGUGACGAAAGUGAACAAGUCUUUGAAUUAUUGAACCGAUUCGUUCAAAUCACUGAUUCAUUCAGGAACGUCACAAUUAUGUUUUGCUUGGAGACGUUCGGUUCGCUGUGGUUACCUUUUCGCUGGCAGAGUAAAUUAAAAUAUUGUGUUUAAAACGUAAGCUUAACAACAUUUUAUCUACAGUUUGUUGAACUAUUGUAUAAAAGAUCAAGAUGCUGUAACACUAACAUCAAUUUAAAUUAAGUUUGGGCGGCUGUUUUUUUUUUCCGAUGUCAGUUGUGUAAAAAUAGAAAGUUAAUGAUCCUACACUGAAAUUGGUUUAAUGUAUACGUAGGCUAAUAUGAUGUUUGACGUUUAGUUUACAUCAAAUCAACUUCAUAUAAAGUUUUUGCCUUCCGUUUGAUUUGUAAAUUUGUCCUGUAUUUUGAUGUCAAUUUGAAGUCUUUUCAACAUCAGUUAACGUUACACACCUGGGUUUUCUAAUCAUGCCAUUAUAUUGUUUGUUUUCCAACUUUGCAUUUGAUUUCUCACCUCAGGUUAGUAAUUUGUCCAACUGUUUUGGCAGAUCUUAUGAGAACAGAGCAGAGAAAUAUGUGUGAAUCAGCUGUUUAGUGCUGGACGAACUGACCAGCUUUUCGCCUUCAGAAAGUACGAGUUGUGUACAAAAAGAUAAAGACAGAGAGAACAGCACUUUGGCCUUCACAGAGACUGGAAGAGACAAGUGCCUGUGGCGUUGUGUUUGGACACACCCACGGAGUGGACUCUGUUGGGCCGAAAGAAAAGGUCACAGAAAUGUCAUGCAGUCAUGUCCUUGAGACGAGGUGGAAGAGAUGCGAUUGGGCCCGGACCCGUCAUCAUCAAGGAGACAGGUGGCCAAGGAGGAAUCGGUCACUAAUGCGGUCGGCUAACUGUGUCAAGGACGCAGAAGCCAAACCUGGUACAGUUCACCUGUGAGAGACCUGAGAGCACGAACGCAGAGAGGAACUGACCCACUAAACCAACUUACAACUCUACAGUCUGCACUCUUCUUGAAAUGAAAGGUUGCAGCCUUGUGGAACUUUGUAUCUAACAUUCUGUUUAUCAUCGGAUCUCUCUCUGCUGUGACUAAUUAUUACCAUUGAUCACUGAGCCUGCUGAUAAGAUGGCCUGAAAGCAUAAUAGAGGUGAGCUGGCAACAAGGCAAGUGACACUGUGUGUUUGUGUGUGUGAUCCGUGACUAACACACAGGUGUGUGCAUCUAUUCAGAAGCUGCACUGCACUGGAAAGCAAGGUCUUAUUUGCAAGACAAAAAGAUAGUCAGCGGCGCUGUUACACACACACACACACACAUACACAAUAAGCGCAGGAUGAGUCACACCGUUCUACAUUUUACUUUCCUCUUAUUUCUCCAUUAUUGAUGCUGAAGGUUUAGAUACCCUAUACAUGCAGUGUCUCUCAGAGGAAUGUUAAGAAGUUUGUUUUGUCAAAAUUAUAAAAGACACCAAAUACAGUAUGUCAGGCAGGGCCAGAGGUCACUGUGAGUGUGUGUGUGUGUGUGUGUGUGGCACGCUGUGUGAUAGUUGAGCAGGAGAUAAUAAUGCUAGCUUUAUUUAGCUCCCACUGACUUUCUGCCAAACCCACGACAGCAUGGAGGUGAAUGCGUACAAACACAUGUGUGCGCGCACGCACACUCACACACACACACACACACACCAUUAAAUACCUUCCAGCACUUCAUUAGUGCUGUGUAAACAUUUCAGUCAUUCAUUCAGCCCUUCACUUGAAGUGUUGUUGUCUUUUAUUGUUUGAUCACUGUUUUUCCACAUGCAAUUCCAUCUGUGUUUGUGGAGCAGACUGUUUUUCAUAACAUAGUCACUUUUUUCAGUCAAACCUGUGAUGUUUAUGAUGUGGGUUAGCGGAUGUCAUGGUGAUACAACUGGUCUGAUAUCAGAAUGAAGAAAGAGCCUCGUUAAAGCACCUUUCAAAAUUAGUUUGACAUUAUAUUUAGUUAUUUAUUUAUUUACUCACUCACUUACUUCAUAGAACCCCAUGCAAAAAUCAAAGUUUUUUGCUUUGUCAGGACAGCUACCCACAAAACAAAAUAUAAUGAUAUUAAUAAUAAACAAUAUUUGUAAUAAAUAGAUAUAUUUAAAUACAUUUUACUUUAAAAAUAUAUUUGUUUUAUAUGUG
Carassius auratus (goldfish) is the source of this 5094-nucleotide long non-coding RNA. RefSeq lists it as uncharacterized. The record is from RefSeq and is a predicted model, not a curated record. The transcript is spliced from 4 exons. NCBI's taxonomy places the organism in Eukaryota, Metazoa, Chordata, Actinopteri, Cypriniformes, Cyprinidae.